UACGUAGGGUGCGAGCGUUGUCCGGAAUUACUGGGCGUAAAGAGCUCGUAGGUGGUUUGUCGCGUUGUUCGUGAAAACUCACAGCUCAACUGUGGGCGUGCGGGCGAUACGGGCAGACUGGAGUACUGCAGGGGAGACUGGAAUUCCUGGUGUAGCGGUGGAAUGCGCAGAUAUCAGGAGGAACACCGGUGGCGAAGGCGGGUCUCUGGGCAGUAACUGACGCUGAGGAGCGAAAGCGUGGGGAGCGAAUAGG
RNAcentral lists this ribosomal RNA (253 nucleotides) under uncultured bacterium. RNAcentral describes it as "partial 16S ribosomal RNA". It matches the Rfam family "Bacterial small subunit ribosomal RNA", at positions 524 to 776 of the family's 1533-position model. The record is from RNAcentral.